RNAcentral lists this ribosomal RNA (252 nucleotides) under uncultured prokaryote. RNAcentral describes it as "partial 16S rRNA". It matches the Rfam family "Bacterial small subunit ribosomal RNA", at positions 525 to 775 of the family's 1533-position model. The record is from RNAcentral.
ACGGGGGGUGCAAGCGUUACUCGGAAUUACUGGGCGUAAAGGGAGCGUAGGUGGCUGGAUAAGUCUCUUGGGAAAUCUACCGGCUCAACCGGAGAACGGCAGAGGGAUACUGGCAGGCUAGGGACCGGAAGAGGUGAGAGGUAAGCCAGGGGUAGGAGUGAAAUCCUGUAAUCCGUGGGGGACCACCUGUGGCGAAGGCGUCUCACCAGGACGGCUCCGACAGUGAGGAACGAAAGCUGGGGGAGCAAACCG